This is a long non-coding RNA of Pollicipes pollicipes, 231 nucleotides long. RefSeq lists it as uncharacterized. The record is from RefSeq and is a predicted model, not a curated record. The transcript is spliced from 3 exons. NCBI's taxonomy places the organism in Eukaryota, Metazoa, Arthropoda, Thecostraca, Pollicipedomorpha, Pollicipedidae.
CCGGCCGCGGCCGCCGCCGCCCCGCCGGGCGCCGCCCGCCGCCCAGAACAGGAAACGGCAGGAUGCCGCCGGCAAGAAGGAGGCGUACGUGUGCCGCGUGUGCCAGUCCAAGUUCCGCGACCCGCAGUCGGUGUUGCAGCACCUCAAGCAGUUCCAUCGGGAGCAUGCCAUGAAGGCCUGGAGCAAGUUCCAGGAGAACCUGCGCACGCGUCAGCCGGAGCCGGCGUCGGG